This is a long non-coding RNA of Rattus norvegicus (Norway rat), 4719 nucleotides long. RefSeq lists it as uncharacterized. Lineage: Eukaryota; Metazoa; Chordata; Mammalia; Rodentia; Muridae. The record is from RefSeq and is a predicted model, not a curated record.
CCAUGGUUUCAGUCACCCACAUUUUUAGUGCCCCUGAAUUCAUAGCAAGGACCAAUGAAAAAAGUUCAUACAUGAUCAUAAAAUGGAGGUCACUAACACAGAUUUGUUUAUACUAUAGUUUUAGAUUUCAGUACUAACUCAUACCCAAACACCUAUUUGAUUUAGAAUUAUCUAUCCAAAAUUUAUGUAGUAUAUCUAUGACCCUCUAAGCUAGUUUUCAUCUUUGCUGUCAAUGUGAUUAUUAAUGGAUUUUGAUAAUGGCUUUGGUAGGUCCUGAGUAGAGAAGCAACUGUAGAUAACAGGUCACAGAGCAGCUGUUUCUCACGCAUGCUUUCCUUUGGUACAUUCCCUAGCCUGGAUCUACAACUAGUGGGCACUUUGAUGUGUAGCUGUUGGGCUUGUUACAAAUCCACUUCCUAUGUGUGUAGCCCCGGCCACUGUGGAUCCCACUGUCAUUCAGGUAGGCACAUUCUCCUCCUCCUUGGGUGACAACCCUAAAGCAAAGAACGAACAAUAAUUACUGCACAGGAUGACACUGCAUUCAAACACCUGCACAAGUUUUACACCCAGCAUCUUUUACAACCUCAGGGCUCAACUUCAACACCACACUUUUGUCACUCAUUCAUGUUGAACCCUAUAAUAUGUGUUCAAGGGAAUUGAUAGGUGUUUGCUGUUGAAAGACCCACCCCAUGAGUCUUAACUCAGAGUUGCAACAGGCUUGAACGAGCCCAGGCACGCCCAGAUACCUAGGGCCGAGUCACCGUGAAAACUAACAGACCAUAAAAGGAAAGGAAUGCAGAACAGACCAGGAGUACCACUCACAGGCCACCUGGCAGGAAGAGAUAAGCCCCCAGCCCCCGACAUCCAGGACGCCCCAAACCUGCCAAUGUGUGUAGCUAUACCUUAUUACCUCAUCAUGUGAAAUAGCCAAUCAUAUGUGAACAUGUCUAUGUGCCUCGUUUGAAUCCACCAAUCCCCGUAACUAUGCAUCUGCUUCUGUACGCCCGCUUCUGCUUCCCCAAUCCCUAUAAAAGCCCCAUGCUGGAGCUGCUGGGUGCGCAAGUCCUCCGAAGAGACUGUGUGCCCGCAGGUACCUGUGUUUUCCAAUAAACCCUCUUGCUGAUUGCAUCCGAGUGGACUCGGCUCGGUCAUUGGGCGCUUGGGACUCCUCCUGAGGGAAAGGUCCUCUCUGGGGGUCUUUCAUUAUGGGGGCUCGUCCGGGAUUUGGAGACCCUCCGCCCAGAGAUCACCGACCACCCACCGGGAGGUAAGCCGGCCGGCGUUUGUCUUGUCUGUUGUGUCUUGUCCUGUGAACGAUCGAUCAAUAGGCUCAGAUCUGGGGACUAUCUGGGCGGGCCAGAGAAGGAGCUGACGAGCUCGGACUUCUCCCCCGCAGCCCUGGAAGACGUUCCAAGGGUGGUUGGAGGAGAGGGAGAUCCGGAUCCGUGGCACCUCCGUCCGUUUUCGGAGGGAUCCGCACCCUUGAUGACUCCGUCUGAAUUUUAUUGGAGUAGAGGAUCCAAGACCCUCGCUGACUCCGUCUGAAUUUUUGGUUUCAGUUUGGUACCGAAGCUGCGCGGCGCGUCUGCUUGUUACUUGUUUGACUGUUGGAAUUGUUUGUCUUCUUUGUGACCUGACUGUGGUUUUCUGGACGUGUUGUCUGUUAGUGUCUUUUUGACUUUUGUUUCGUGUUUGAAUUUGGACUGACGACUGUGUUUAAAAUCUUGGACCGACGACUGUGUUUGAAAUCAUGAAACUGUUUGCUUUGUUCGUCGAAGAGUUUUACUUGGUCCCCUUAACGCUUAGUGAGUAAGAAACUUAAUUUUGUAGACCCCGCUCUAGUGGCAGUGUGUUGGUUGAUAGCCAAAGUUAAUUUUUAAAACAUAGUGUUUUGGGGGUUGGGGAUUUAGCUCAGUGGUAGAGCUCUUGCCUAGCAAGCGCAAGGCCCUGGGUUCGGUCCCCAGCUCUGAAAAAAGGAAAGAAAAACAAAACAAAAACAUAUAGUGUUUUAUCUGUGCUUAUGCUCGCAGCCAGCUGUGAUGAACUGGGAAAGAUUUAAAUUUUCCUUGGGAGUAAGGAAUCUUAAAGGCGGAGUUUCAGCCGGUAUGGCACUUAGUGCAUAGCUGCCUAAAAGAUCAGAAAUGCUGUUAACAGGCUAUAAAAAAAGGACAGGCUGUGUUAGAAAUGCUACAGGAAGAAUGAUCUAAAAAGGCUGAGAGCUAAGUGGGGCUAUAAGGAAAACAAGAACAGGAAAGGAAUUUCUGACAUUUGCUCACAGUAGGAGAGCGCUCAUUUAGAGAAGUUCUUUAAGGAAGCCUGCCUUAUCUGCUGUCCUUAUUCCAAGGGAGGAGUCAGUCUCCAACAUUAAAUUACUUUUCUCACUGAUCAUCAUUAACAUGGAGAGUGCCUUUGGUCCUAUCCCCACAGCAGCCAGUUCCUGCCCCUAUGGUUAAAAUGCCCCAGGUUGGGGGACAAAAAGAGCCCCUAAAAUAGUUUCAAAGAAUCUACAACUGUGAAGAACUUUGUUUUGCCAGUCAGGAUUAAUGUUUUCUUUUCCAUGGGCCUAUAGCCCACUGAGACAGUUUGGUAAAGGGCUGUUACUAAAGUCCUGAAAGCCCCAGGUGAACUGGUUACAAUUCUUUUGUCAGCUGCUUAGUAUCUAGCACCCAGGUUCUAACCAUCUCUCCAUCCUUUUGUUAUUAGUUGUUACUAGAAGCCUAGUGUCAUUUGGAGGAUGGUUCUCUUGAGAGGCAAAGCCCCAAGCUGACACUGAAGGGAGGUAGGUACUCCUUAAGGGAAAAUCUAAGCCCAGAGAGACAGCCGGUAACAGCUAGGCUGCCUCUCUGCUCGCCUUUCUGUUUCAUAGACAAAGCUUGUGCUUAUAUUUACAGUGGCCUUUUUGUCCAAAAAAAGGCCUCCUGGUUUAGCUGUGUGACUAAAUGCUAUUUGUCCUCUUCAGUGGACCUCUCUCCUCUAGAUUCCCUUCUUGUUUUCUCACCAUCCCACGUGAGAUGCUUGUUAGUAACUGUUACAGAUCUUCUUUACCACUGAGGAAAGACAGAAUCCUGCUAGAGGCCAGAAAGAAUGUUCCAGACAUGGAUGGAAGGCUCCUGACUGUUGACUUCAAUGCCCCUGAAGGCUAAAAGACCUACAGGUGAUACAGAAAGAAAUCUGCUCAGAGCUGGCAGCAGCCUAUGCCCUGGGGACCCCUGAGACAUCUCACCAGUUCCAGGUCGGAGACUCGGCUACAUACGAUGGCACCGAACCCAGAUACUCACUGGAAAGGACCGUACCUGGUUCUGCUGACCACCCUGACAGCCAUCAACUCUCAACCCUCACCAGCCGUGUACUAGCUGUUGGGGCUGAGAGCUGGGACCUAGAGGGAAACUCAGAUCUUCAAAAAGCUCCCUAGACUUAAUUUCAUGUUUGCCCCGGGUUUUAUCAAGAUAGGUGUGGGGAUAGGCUUGAUUUCUAUUACAAAUGAUUUAACAUUGCAUAUGUUAGUACUCCUAACACUUCUUGGGACUGUGCCUCAGGGAUCACAAUCUGUAUAAGUUUAGAAGUUCUAAAAGCUAGUCAUGACCUUGGUGUGUAGGUUUAGAUAGUGUCCAGAUUGGAAUCCUGAUGCUAAAGACUUAGUAAGAAAAAAAAAAAGAGUUGAGAAUUACUUAAGGCUAUCUAGGUGCUGCAAGGGCAGCACAAGGACAUCUGCCAUUGCCCUGCAAUGCAAGGUUUAUAGAGAAUUCAGAACUGCCAUUGACUCAGAUAUAAAAAGAGUGAAAGACUUUUUAGCUGACCUCCAAGAAUACCUAACCUCCCUCUCAGAGGUAGUCCUUCAGAAUAGGAGAAGAUUAGACCUGAUAUUCCUUAAAGAAGGAACCUGUGUGCUACACUGAAAGAAUGUUGUUUCUAUGCAGACCAUACAGGAUUAGUGAGAGAUAACAUGGCUAAGCUCCGAGAACGCUUGGCCCAGAGACAGAAGCUGUUUGAUUCCCAACAAGGCUGGUUCGAGGGGUGGUUUAACCGAUCCCCUUGGUUUGCUACCCUGGUGUCCACCUUGAUGGGACCCUUAAUCAUCCUCCUCCUAAUCUUCCUCUUUGGCCCCUGCAUUCUAAACAGAUUGAUGCAGUUCAUAAAGAACAGACUCUCAGUCAUUCAGACGCUUGUUCUCACCCAACAAUACCAGAGGGUAAGACAACAGGAAGAGAUUCCUUAGAAUUCGAUUUGAGUAAAGGAUUUUACUCAAGUCUAAAAGAAAAUGGGGGAAAAUGAAAGACCCACCCCAUGAGUCUUAACUCAGAGUUGCAACAGGCUUGAACGAGCCCAGGCACGCCCAGAUACCUAGGGCCGAGUCACCGUGAAAACUAACAGACCAUAAAAGGAAAGGAAUGCAGAACAGACCAGGAGUACCACUCACAGGCCACCUGGCAGGAAGAGAUAAGCCCCCAGCCCCCGACAUCCAGGACGCCCCAAACCUGCCAAUGUGUGUAGCUAUACCUUAUUACCUCAUCAUGUGAAAUAGCCAAUCAUAUGUGAACAUGUCUAUGUGCCUCGUUUGAAUCCACCAAUCCCCGUAACUAUGCAUCUGCUUCUGUACGCCCGCUUCUGCUUCCCCAAUCCCUAUAAAAGCCCCAUGCUGGAGCUGCUGGGUGCGCAAGUCCUCCGAAGAGACUGUGUGCCCGCAGGUACCUGUGUUUUCCAAUAAACCCUCUUGCUGAU